This 77-nucleotide transfer RNA is filed under the name Candidatus Shapirobacteria bacterium RIFOXYA1_FULL_39_17. RNAcentral describes it as "tRNA-Pro". It matches the Rfam family "tRNA". From Rfam's summary of the family: Transfer RNA (tRNA) molecules are approximately 80 nucleotides in length. Their secondary structure includes four short double-helical elements and three loops (D, anti-codon, and T loops). RNAcentral also lists the same sequence under 4 other names. Lineage: Bacteria; Candidatus Shapironibacteriota. The record is from RNAcentral.
CGGGGAUUGGCGCAAUUGGCUAGCGCGCACGGUUUGGGACCGUGAGGUUGCUGGUUCGAAUCCAGUAUCCCCGACAA